Molecule: unclassified non-coding RNA, 241 nt
Filed under: fungal sp.
Lineage: Eukaryota; Fungi
Description: partial internal transcribed spacer region
Rfam family: Eukaryotic small subunit ribosomal RNA (bases 1-46)
Source: RNAcentral
AAGUCGUAACAAGGUUUCCGUAGGUGAACCUGCGGAAGGAUCAUUAACGUAUAUACAAAGUCCUAUGAAGCCGUCAAACGCUAAGUAGGCAAACCCCCUCAACCAUGUGAAAUGUCUUGUCCUUUGGACUUGGAGUCAAAUCCAAGUCCAACAACAAACUUGAACCUAUUCUUUUAUUAACCAUGAUACUUUUAAACAAGAAAAUCUAUACAACUUUUAACAAUGGAUCUCUUGGCUCCCA